Chiloscyllium plagiosum (whitespotted bambooshark) is the source of this 154-nucleotide non-coding RNA. NCBI's taxonomy places the organism in Eukaryota, Metazoa, Chordata, Chondrichthyes, Orectolobiformes, Hemiscylliidae. The record is from RefSeq and is a predicted model, not a curated record.
CUGCUCAUUUUUUUUCUUGGGCAGCUGGUCUAGGGAUAGUCGCCUUCAAGGAGAGUCCUUACACAUACACUCAAAUUAGGCAAACACCCGGGUGGCCAGUGACAAACACUGCCCUUUGCAUCAAAGGGCAGUGCUGUGUGAUCAAAACAGUGAA